RNAcentral lists this long non-coding RNA (778 nucleotides) under Dasypus novemcinctus (nine-banded armadillo). RNAcentral describes it as "lncRNA (ENSDNOG00000050419.1)". The record is from RNAcentral. Lineage: Eukaryota; Metazoa; Chordata; Mammalia; Cingulata; Dasypodidae.
CACCGAUUGCCCACCUGACUGUCAAUUGUGUUGAACAUUUUUCUCCCCAUUUAGCUGAGAGGCAAGACUGGAAUUUUUCAGAAGAAACUAAGAUCACAGGAAAAGAGCCUUCCCUCCUCCUUAUUAUUAUUAUUUAUUUUUAGUUUAAGAGCACAGAUGAGCCUGGGACAGCUUCGAAGCUCUCCAUCUUUAGUACCUUUUUCCUCCUAGAGUUCUGGAAUAGAAAAGAGUUGCUGAACAAAACCUGCAAGACGGCUGGGCAUGUGCACUGCCCGUGCAGUGUCUCAGCCCUGAUGCUUUUUCAAAAGGCAAAGCGGUCUCCUCGAGUUAUCGCUCUCCUCUUCGACAAGUAUCUGUUGAGCGUCUGCUUCAAGCAAGCCAUGUCCUGGGAGGCAAGUGUGGACGCCACGAAGGCCCCGUCCAAGGAGCUUACGCUGUGGUGGGGAGGGGGACGGGCACAGAGAGCGAGCAGUGAGAAGAUGACGAGGAGGAGGUGGCACCAGGGACCAUUCCAGGCAGAAUGGCAAGAAGCGGGGGAGCUGGGGCGCUGCCACCCAGGCACCCGCUAGCGCCUUCUGAGAACAGAGGGGCCCCUGCAGCAGUGUGGAGGACGCCGCAGGGCUAGCACAUGGGGACAGCGGAGGCUCUGCAGAGCCCAGGAAGGAACGACUUCCACAUCUGACAAGGGAGCCCUGAUGCCAAGGAACCAUCACACACACGCUGGACUUAUUCAGUCAUGAAUUAGUUCAGACCCUGAACGAUCACGUGAGAAUUGAUC